This 293-nucleotide ribosomal RNA is filed under the name uncultured Pseudomonas sp. Its description in RNAcentral is "partial 16S ribosomal RNA". It matches the Rfam family "Bacterial small subunit ribosomal RNA", at positions 1090 to 1382 of the family's 1533-position model. Lineage: Bacteria; Pseudomonadati; Pseudomonadota; Gammaproteobacteria; Pseudomonadales; Pseudomonadaceae. The record is from RNAcentral.
UAACGAGCGCAACCCUUGUCCUUAGUUACCAGCACGUUAUGGUGGGCACUCUAAGGAGACUGCCGGUGACAAACCGGAGGAAGGUGGGGAUGACGUCAAGUCAUCAUGGCCCUUACGGCCUGGGCUACACACGUGCUACAAUGGUCGGUACAAAGGGUUGCCAAGCCGCGAGGUGGAGCUAAUCCCAUAAAACCGAUCGUAGUCCGGAUCGCAGUCUGCAACUCGACUGCGUGAAGUCGGAAUCGCUAGUAAUCGUGAAUCAGAAUGUCACGGUGAAUACGUUCCCGGGCCUU